Molecule: ribosomal RNA, 491 nt
Filed under: uncultured bacterium
Lineage: Bacteria
Description: partial 16S ribosomal RNA
Rfam family: Bacterial small subunit ribosomal RNA
Source: RNAcentral
AGUGAACGCUGGCGGUAGGCCUAACACAUGCAAGUCGAACGGCAGCACAGUAAGAGCUUGCUCUUACGGGUGGCGAGUGGCGGACGGGUGAGGAAUACAUCGGAAUCUACUUUUUCGUGGGGGAUAACGUAGGGAAACUUACGCUAAUACCGCAUACGACCUACGGGUGAAAGCAGGGGAUCUUCGGACCUUGCGCGAUUGAAUGAGCCGAUGUCGGAUUAGCUAGUUGGCGGGGUAAAGGCCCACCAAGGCGACGAUCCGUAGCUGGUCUGAGAGGAUGAUCAGCCACACUGGAACUGAGACACGGUCCAGACUCCUACGGGAGGCAGCAGUGGGGAAUAUUGGACAAUGGGCGCAAGCCUGAUCCAGCCAUACCGCGUGGGUGAAGAAGGCCUUCGGGUUGUAAAGCCCUUUUGUUGGGAAAGAAAAGCAGCAGGUUAAGACCCCGCUGUUCUGACGGUACCCAAAGAAUAAGCACCGGCGAACUUCGG